RNAcentral lists this long non-coding RNA (3627 nucleotides) under Cicer arietinum (chickpea). Its description in RNAcentral is "long non-coding RNA (CARI_LNC000938)". Lineage: Eukaryota; Viridiplantae; Streptophyta; Magnoliopsida; Fabales; Fabaceae. The record is from RNAcentral.
GUUUGUGUUAUGUUAGAUGUAUAUAAAGGUUCUGUAGAAUUUGUAGUGUGAGUUGGUUUGAGUUUGUGUAGCUUUUAGUUGUGGCAAUUAUGCACUUGAUGAUUUUGGCUUUAGUGGGUCGACAAUCUCUAGAUUUUGGAAAUGGAUCAAGGUUGGCAGUGGAGAGGGUUAUUGGGUUUGUGCCGGAGGAAUUGGUUGAAAGCAGGCUUUGGUAUGGGUCUUGAGACUUGACGGAAGCUUCCAUGAAAAUGAUUAUGAAGCAAAUUGAUGGUAAUGGUAGGAGUGUGUGGAAUUGACUUGGGUUGACGGUGGUUAUGGGACCUGAAGAAGGUCUGGUAUGGGUCUUGAGAGUUGAUGGAAGCUUCCAUGAAAAUGAUUCGGAAGCAGGGCGAUGGUAACAGUAGGAGUAGCAUGGAACUGACUUGGGUUGACGGCGUCUAUUAGACCUGAAGAAGGUUACAUACAAGCUGAAUCCUGAACUUAUAAUAUAUUGUUAGCACUCAUCAUAAGCUUUUUUCUCAUAUAAUGGUUAACAUUACUUUACUCUGAUAUAGGAUAUAUAGGCAUCUCGCAUUAGAUACGAUGUACAAACUGUAGAAUCUUGUCCUUACAAAAAAACCCUUAGGUCUCUCCUCUCUUUCUUUCUAAGCUUUUCUGGGUUUUUUUCUUAGCAUCAUCUUUAAUCAUUCUCACUUCUAUCCUUAUUUUACUUUCUUUUCUGAGACAUUUAACUGUGUUUAUCACUGUCAUUUCAGUUGAUUAGAUGAUAUGCAGUUUGCUAGUUACUUCCUUCCCUAUAUUUGUUUCUACCUUCCCUAUCAGUCUUUUCAUAUCUUCCAGUCAUCUUUCUUUCUCUGUUAGUAUUUAUAUUUUAAAUAGCAGCCCUCAGUGAGGGUUUUGUUUUCCCCUUAACUAUCUUUUCUGUUUUUUUCAAAGAAAAGUUAGAAGGGAUUUGUAGUAGUCUUUUGCUGCAUUAACUUCUGUUUUCUAGGAUGAAUCAAUUCCGUUCCACCGACUAUAAAUCCCCUGAUAUAUUUCCUUCUGGUUUUGAGUAAUGCAUAUUUCUGUAGUCCUUAUCCUCACCAGUCACCUGGCUUAUCUUCCACUUCCAUGGAGAGUGUUGACCAAGCUAUGCCGAAAUUUAAGGUAAGAUAUUGCUUAAUCAUUGUUUAAAUGCUUCUGCCAUUCUUUUCAUGAUGUUACAUUACAGUUAAUAAGAAUUGUUUAAUAUGUGAAUCAGGAAGGCAAAACUUUACUCAUGCUUCUUCAGUUAUGGAUCAUGAGAUGUGGUCAGUUUCAAUUGCAAAUCAGUUUCUGCCAUAAUGUCCUCUCUGGGUCGCAAAUUUGAUUGUUUCUUUUUCUUCCUUCUUCAGUAACUUGUGUAACUUGUUUGGUCUGCUGAAAUAAAAUGUUUAAUGACUAUCAUCUAUCUGAUAUUUUGUAUUUGAUUUAAAUACUUAUUCACCUUAUUAAUUUAUAUUGCGUUUCAUUGAAAGCUCUAGAAUAAUUGGCUGCAUUUUAACGAACUUUUGUAUCCGACGUUGUUAGUUAAGCUUUCACUAAGUAAAAUGUGUGGCUCCUAAUAUUGAUGGAACUUGUCUCAUGAAAUAUUUGGUAAUGAUUCGCAUAUAUCAAAUAUUUGGUGUCAUGUUUGAAACAUUCAUAAUUGUGUAUUUUCAUGCAAUUGCAACUACAUUUUAGGCUCCUUAAUAAUUAAGUAGUUAACAUAAAUUUAUGUUCGGUAAAUCCAACUCAAUUGAUAGAAGGCCGAAGAGGCUUCAACUCCAACACCCUUCUUUUUCUUUUUACUUGAGGUGUGGGUUUUGAAAUUAAAUUUUUUAAUCAAGGUAAAAUGGGUUUGAACAAAUAAAUUGAAUUUCAACCGUUAUUAUUAAAGUAAUUUUAAUAAAAUAAAUUAUAAAUUUAUAAUAUUUGAAUUAUUUUAAAUAAUUUUUUUUUUAAAUGUUGAUUUAUUUAAUUUUAGUGUUUUGUUUUAAAUCUUAUGUUUUGUGGUGAUGUGCUUUAGUAAAUUAUGUCUUUUUCACUUUUGUUUUUGUUUUAAUUUUCCAGUGUCAGGGAUAGUUUCCGUGGUUCGCUUAAAUCAGUGAGAUUGUGGACGAAAUUUUUAGGGUUUGGAAUCGGUGAAAGAGAUCUAUUUUGCGACAGUGAAGUUUUUGUACUUUCUUGCUUGUUUCUGAUACCUUGUAUUGUGGCAUUGAGAAUUUGAGAUCUAGUUUUUUUUUUUUUUUGUGUGUGUGUGACUAUGGAGACACUUGUUGUUGUUGACCAGCAUAAGAAUCAAUACUGUAGCAGAUCUAAGUCACAAGGCCAUGGUAGAUUUGGAUCUUCACCUUCAAAACAAUUUAGAGGGAUUAACUGUAGGACUUUUCAAUCUGAUUCAGGUAUAUUACCAACUCCUUUGAAAUCUCAGAGUUUUCAUGAAACUAAAACACCAACAUCUCCUGUUACUGAAAACCCUAAUAGGAAAAAAACUAGUCCUAAGAGCUCCCCGAUUCCGAUUAAUGGUAAAACUUGUAGAAAAGAGACAACUUUCAGUGGAGAUUUAUGCUGUGGAAGCUUUUUGCUAUCUGAGUUAUGGGCUGGACCUACAUAUUCAAAUUCGCCACCACCUAGUUCUCUGCCGAUUCCUAAGUUUUCUGUGAGACCGAAGAGGACUGUGUCUCUUGAUCUUCCUGAUUCCUCUCCUGAGAUUGAAUUGCGCCCGAUGGCUAAGUCUGCACCCUCUUCUCCGACCAGGGAGCGAUUGUGUUUUACAAGGGAUCUCUUUGUGAAUGCUGAUUCUGCUACUGAGACCCUUCGUCGGAUUCUCAAUCUCGACAUCAAUGAUGAAUGAAACUUAAGGAGCAAUGCACUCCUGUAAAUAAGUGUUUUCAAUGAAAGUAGGUUUGUGUUAUGUUAGAUGUAUAUAAAGGUUCUGUAGAAUUUGUAGUGUGAGUUGGUUUGAGUUUGUGUAGCUUUUAGUUGUGGCAAUUAUGCACUUGAUGAUUUUGGCUUUAGUGGGUCGACAAUCUCUAGAUUUUGGAAAUGGAUCAAGGUUGGCAGUGGAGAGGGUUAUUGGGUUUGUGCCGGAGGAAUUGGUUGAAAGCAGGCUUUGGUAUGGGUCUUGAGACUUGACGGAAGCUUCCAUGAAAAUGAUUAUGAAGCAAAUUGAUGGUAAUGGUAGGAGUGUGUGGAAUUGACUUGGGUUGACGGUGGUUAUGGGACCUGAAGAAGGUCUGGUAUGGGUCUUGAGAGUUGAUGGAAGCUUCCAUGAAAAUGAUUCGGAAGCAGGGCGAUGGUAACAGUAGGAGUAGCAUGGAACUGACUUGGGUUGACGGCGUCUAUUAGACCUGAAGAAGGUUACAUACAAGCUGAAUCCUGAACUUAUAAUAUAUUGUUAGCACUCAUCAUAAGCUUUUUUCUCAUAUAAUGGUUAACAUUACUUUACUCUGAUAUAGGAUAUAUAGGCAUCUCGCAUUAGAUACGAUGUACAAACUGUAGAAUCUUGUCCUUACAAAAAAACCCUUAGGUCUCUCCUCUCUUUCUUUCUAAGCUUUUCUGGGUUUUUUUCUUAGCAUCAUCUUUAAUCAUUCUCACUUCUAUCCUUAUUUUACUUUCUUUUCUGAG